GGGCCCAUGGUCUAGACCGGUCAUGACAUCGCCCUUACACGGCGAGGAUCCGGGGUUCAAGUCCCCGUGGGCCCA
This 75-nucleotide transfer RNA is filed under the name Nitrososphaerota archaeon. RNAcentral's name for it is "Thaumarchaeota archaeon tRNA-Val". It matches the Rfam family "tRNA". Rfam says of the family: Transfer RNA (tRNA) molecules are approximately 80 nucleotides in length. Their secondary structure includes four short double-helical elements and three loops (D, anti-codon, and T loops). RNAcentral also lists the same sequence under 2 other names. Lineage: Archaea; Thermoproteati; Nitrososphaerota. The record is from RNAcentral.